UACAGAGGAUGCAAGCGUUAUCCGGAAUGAUUGGGCGUAAAGCGUCUGUAGGUGGCUUUUUAAGUCCGCCGUCAAAUCCCAGGGCUCAACCCUGGACAGGCGGUGGAAACUACCAAGCUGGAGUACGGUAGGGGCGGAGGGAAUUUCCGGUGGAGCGGUGAAAUGCGUAGAGAUCGGAAAGAACACCAACGGCGAAAGCACUCUGCUGGGCCGACACUGACACUGAGGUGCGAAAGCGUGGGGAGCAAACAGG
This 253-nucleotide ribosomal RNA is filed under the name uncultured bacterium. RNAcentral describes it as "partial 16S ribosomal RNA". It matches the Rfam family "Bacterial small subunit ribosomal RNA", at positions 524 to 776 of the family's 1533-position model. The record is from RNAcentral.